ACGAAGGGUGCAAGCGUUACUCGGAAUUACUGGGCGUAAAGGGUGCGUAGGCGGCUUGUCGCGUCGUCUGUGAAAUCCCGCGGCUCAACCGCGGGUCUGCAGUCGAUACGGGCAGGCUAGAGUUCGGUAGGGGAGACUGGAAUUCCUGGUGUAGCGGUGAAAUGCGCAGAUAUCAGGAGGAACACCGGUGGCGAAGGCGGGUCUCUGGGCCGAUACUGACGCUGAGGAGCGAAAGCGUGGGGAGCGAACAGGA
This 253-nucleotide ribosomal RNA is filed under the name uncultured prokaryote. RNAcentral describes it as "partial 16S ribosomal RNA". It matches the Rfam family "Bacterial small subunit ribosomal RNA", at positions 525 to 777 of the family's 1533-position model. The record is from RNAcentral.